UCAUAAAACCAGACUGUCAGAGCCGAGCCGAGCCACACUGAGCUGCGCCACGGUGAGGCAGGGCACGGCACCGUCAACCACCGAGGACCGGACCGGACCGGGUGAAUGCAGUCCCGCACACCGGACUCUGCCGCACACGCUUUCGGACAUACGAGGACGCACGGAGCGGCCGAACGGCGGAACAGCCACGGGGAAAAGGCGUUAGUCACCGGUGAACAGCCUCCCAAAGCAGCCCGAGUGUGAAUGCACAGCCCCCCCAGUUGGCAAACUCUUCAUCCCCCCCCCUGACAGAACUGACCAUCCUCAUCCUCCACAAGCAGAAGGUGCGUUUUUGGUGAAGGAUCCGUCCGUCCGUCCGUCCGCCAUGGAGAACGCACAUACGAAGAGUGUGGAAGAAGUUUACAGUUAUUUCUGCGUCAAUGAAAGCACAGGACUUCCCCUGGACGAGGUGAAGCGGCAGCGGGAGAAAUGGGGCCUGAACGAGUUACCGGCAGAAGAAGGGAAAUCUUUAUGGGAGCUUGUCCUUGAACAGUUUGAAGAUCUACUUGUACGAAUCCUUCUACUGGCUGCCUGUAUAUCUUUUGUCCUAGCCUGGUUUGAGGAAGGAGAGGAAACUAUCACAGCCUUUGUGGAGCCUUUUGUAAUCUUACUCAUUCUUAUAGCUAACGCCAUUGUUGGAGUAUGGCAGGAACGCAACGCUGAGGAUGCCAUUGAGGCGCUUAAGGAGUAUGAGCCGGAGAUGGGGAAAGUGUACCGACAGGACAGGAAAACUGUCCAGAGGAUCAAGGCCAGAGACAUUGUGCCAGGGGACAUUGUGGAGGUUGCAGUCGGAGACAAGGUGCCUGCUGACAUCCGCAUCUGUUCAAUCAAAUCAACAACUCUGAGGGUGGACCAGUCCAUUUUAACUGGUGAAUCUGUCUCCGUGAUCAAACACACCGACCCCGUGCCUGACCCACGAGCUGUCAAUCAAGACAAGAAGAACAUGCUCUUCUCUGGUACCAACAUCGCAGCUGGAAAAGCUGUGGGUGUGGUUGUAGCCACCGGGGUCAACACGGAGAUCGGUAAGAUCCGCGACGAGAUGGCGGCCACUGAACAGGAGAAGACGCCUCUGCAGCAGAAGUUGGAUGAGUUCGGCCAGCAGCUGUCCAAGGUCAUCUCCAUCAUCUGCAUCGCCGUGUGGAUCAUCAACAUCGGACACUUCAACGACCCCGUCCACGGUGGCUCCUGGAUCCGCGGGGCUGUCUACUACUUCAAGAUCGCCGUGGCCCUGGCUGUGGCCGCCAUCCCCGAGGGGCUCCCUGCUGUCAUCACCACCUGCCUGGCCCUGGGCACCCGCCGCAUGGCCAAGAAGAACGCCAUCGUCCGCAGCCUGCCCUCCGUGGAGACUUUGGGCUGCACCUCUGUCAUCUGCUCUGACAAGACAGGAACACUGACCACCAACCAGAUGUCCGUCUGCAGAAUGUUCAUCCUCAACAAAGCAGAGGGCGACAGCUGUUCUCUGGCAGAAUUUACCGUCACAGGUUCAACCUACGCACCAGAGGGAGAAGUGUACCAUGAUGGAAAACUCGUCACCUGCUCCCAGUACGAUGCACUAGUUGAACUGGCCACCAUCUGCGCCCUGUGCAACGACUCCUCUCUGGACUUUAAUGAGGUGAAAGGUGUGUACGAGAAGGUCGGCGAGGCCACUGAGACGGCGCUGACCUGUCUGGUGGAAAAGAUGAACGUCUUCGACACUGAAAUCCACAACUUGUCUAAGAUUGACAGAGCAAACGCCUGCAACUCUGUGAUCAAGCAGUUGAUGAAGAAGGAGUUCACGCUGGAGUUCUCCCGAGACAGGAAGUCCAUGUCCGUCUACUGCACCCCCAACAAGUCACGCUCUUCCAUGGGCAAAAUGUUUGUGAAGGGCGCUCCAGAGGGAGUUAUUGAGAGAUGCACUCACGUCAGAGUGGGCAACAAUAAAGUCCCACUCACCAAAGGUAUCAAAGAGAAGAUCCUGUCGGUGAUCCGGGAGUAUGGGACCGGUCGGGACACCCUGAGGUGUUUGGCUCUGGCCACACGAGACACCCCACCCAAAAUGGAUGAGAUGAUACUAUCAGACACAGCCAAGUUCUCAGAGUAUGAGUCUGACCUGACCUUCGUGGGCUGUGUCGGGAUGUUGGACCCCCCUAGGCAGGAGGUGGCCGCCUCCAUCAAGCUGUGUCGACAGGCGGGCAUCCGGGUCAUCAUGAUCACCGGGGACAACAAGGGCACAGCUGUGGCCAUCUGCCGUCGAAUCGGCAUCCUGACUGAGGAGGACGACGUGGAGCGCAUGGCCUUCACCGGACGAGAGUUUGAUGAACUGUCCCUCAACACCCAGCGCGAGGCUGUGACUCAUGCACGCUGCUUCGCCCGCGUCGAACCGUCCCACAAGUCGAAGAUCGUCGAGUUCCUGCAGGGCUUUGAUGAGAUCACUGCAAUGACCGGUGAUGGAGUGAACGACGCCCCGGCCUUGAAGAAGGCAGAGAUUGGCAUCGCCAUGGGCUCUGGCACCGCCGUGGCCAAGUCAGCCUCCGAGAUGGUCCUCGCUGAUGACAACUUCUCCUCUAUCGUGGCUGCCGUGGAAGAAGGCCGAGCAAUAUACAACAACAUGAAGCAGUUCAUCAGAUACCUUAUCUCCUCCAACGUGGGGGAGGUCGUCUGCAUCUUCCUCACUGCUGCUCUUGGCUUCCCUGAGGCUCUGAUCCCAGUCCAGCUGCUCUGGGUCAACCUGGUCACAGACGGCCUCCCCGCCACAGCUCUGGGCUUCAACCCCCCAGAUCUGGACAUUAUGGAGAAGCCCCCUCGCAACGCUAAGGAGCCGCUCAUCUCCGGAUGGCUCUUCUUCAGAUACUUGGCCAUUGGAGGUUAUGUGGGCGCUGCCACCGUGGGAGCUGCUGCCUGGUGGUUCGUUUUGUCUGAAGACGGACCUCAGCUCAAUCUGUACCAGCUGAGCCACUUCCUCCAGUGUUCCCCAGACAACCCCGACUUCGACGGCCUGGACUGCCAGGUGUUCGAAUCCCCCUACCCCAUGACCAUGGCCCUGUCGGUGCUCGUCACUAUUGAGAUGUGCAACGCUCUCAACAGUCUGUCGGAGAACCAGUCGCUGCUGCGGAUGCCCCCCUGGGAGAACAUUUGGCUUCUGGGGGCCAUCUGCCUCUCCAUGUCCCUCCACUUCCUCAUCCUCUAUGUGGAACCCCUGCCUGUCAUCUUCCAGAUCACGCCUCUGGACACGACUCAGUGGAUGAUGGUGCUGAAGAUCUCGCUGCCCGUCAUCCUGCUGGACGAGCUGCUAAAGUUUAUGGCCAGGAACUACUUGGAGUUCGGUAACCAGCUGGAGAAACCGGCCAGAAAAGGCUGCUCUCUGUCUGCAUGCGCCGACGGCAUCUCGUGGCCGUUCGUGGCCAUCUCCCUGCCCCUGGUGUUGUGGAUCUACAGCACCGACACUAACGUAUCCGCCAUGUUCUGGCCCUGACUGACUCCAGUUCACCCCCUUCCCUGUGCACCAGUGUGACGUGGACAUUAACACACACCUCUAACAGUUACUUUAACUCGGAACAACGUAGAGUCGACACCUGCACCUGCUCUGACAGUCCGUGAAGGCCAAGUAAGCUGCCUCUCCUCUAAAUUCCUUGCCGAAUCUUUGGUUUUGUUUUGUGUUGUGCAUGUGUGUUUCGGGCAGCACAUCUUACAAGAGCUGCAUGUCAGUUUAAAUACAGUGAAGACAGGGCUCAUCAUCAUCAUCAUCCUCAUGUCACUUUUCUGAAACGGCCAUGAAUAAACGUCUGAUGAAAACUAGCCAGUUCCAUCUCAGCAGUCCUUCUAUUGUCCUGCAUGAAGAGCCUUAGAUAAGAACCAGAUCUCAUGCCAUGUUUUUAGACAAAGAUCUUAGUACCGUGUACAGUAAAUGUACAUUAUUCCAUGGUGCAUGUCCGCUGAAUCAGCCAUCUGUUUUACCAGACUUGUGUCAUAGACGAUGUAUAGUAUUGGUACAUAGAUUAGACAUUCGUCAGAUAGUACAAAUGUUAAAUAAGCUCAAAAACACGGUUCAUCUUUCCUAAGGAAAUACUUUUAUGGGAUAUUUAAAAACCAAACAGACUUUUGUUGUUUUUUUCUUCUUUGCACUGAGAUGUGCGACAUGUUUGGAGCAGAUUUUGCCAUAUCUGGGAAUGCAGCGGUGUUAGCAUACGAGCAGCAGGCUGUCCCUCCUUUGGCAUUUUGUGCCAAACUGCUGUACUGUAUUUUCAGAGAUGAUUGUACAAUGUAUCACAUGAAUAAAAACUGUCAAACAUGAAGAGUUUC
Sphaeramia orbicularis (orbiculate cardinalfish) is the source of this 4317-nucleotide RNA transcript. It is a transcript of the gene named sarcoplasmic/endoplasmic reticulum calcium ATPase 2-like, with no coding region annotated. The record is from RefSeq and is a predicted model, not a curated record. NCBI's taxonomy places the organism in Eukaryota, Metazoa, Chordata, Actinopteri, Kurtiformes, Apogonidae. The transcript is spliced from 21 exons.